UGGUGCUAGGUUUCCUGGGGAAGCUUUACUGCCAUUUACAGUCUCUGCUUCAUAUUCACUCUUUCUUUUUUCCCCCUUAUGGGGCAUUCAAGGAGGAGACACUGCUCUUCCCGUGGCCUAGCUCUGCAUCCUCAAACAUGUCAUGGCUAAAUCCAUGUGGUAUGAGUGCCAGCCAUGGCCCCCAGUUAACAGCAGCAAACUCAUUCUCAUCUCAUCAAGUGAUCCUUAAACAAGAACUAUGAAGCUGCAUAGGUGGGCUUAACCUGCUCCAGAAAGGGACAGUCACUUCAACCAAGGACAGACUUUGCUCAUUUGCUUCCAGAUGCUCCAUCCUGCUGCACAAGGGUGAGAGGUGACAGUGGACCAGAGAAGAAGGGAAGAUGGAGGCAGAAUAAAUCCUGAUGGAGUGGAGCAAAAAGGAGCACCAAGUGGGAAUCUCCCAUACAGUGUGUUCCUCUCUGCAGGACAGAGGCUUGUGUCACCCCAUUUCCUAGCAGAACACUGGAGACUGUAAUUGUCCAGGAAAGAACUCUGAAGCUGUGGUCCCCAGGCUGGGGAAAGCAGUCAAGACUUCUAGCCAAGCAUGAGACCUAUAGCUCCAACAGG
Molecule: non-coding RNA, 606 nt
Organism: Zonotrichia albicollis (white-throated sparrow)
Lineage: Eukaryota; Metazoa; Chordata; Aves; Passeriformes; Passerellidae
Source: RefSeq, a predicted model, not a curated record